Molecule: small nucleolar RNA, 128 nt
Organism: Chelonoidis abingdonii (Abingdon island giant tortoise)
Lineage: Eukaryota; Metazoa; Chordata; Testudines; Testudinidae
Gene: SNORA63
Rfam family: Small nucleolar RNA SNORA63
About the family: E3 belongs to the H/ACA class of snoRNAs and is involved in the processing of eukaryotic pre-rRNA and has regions of complementarity to 18S rRNA.
Source: Ensembl
AUGCAGGAUAAGUUACAAUGUAGCUGUCAAGUGCUGUAUUGUCGUUCCCCCUGCUCAAAUAAAUUGUGUCAUACUAUCCCUGACUGCCUCGAUUCCCACAGUAGACAGGGACGCUUGGUCUCGUACAU